RNAcentral lists this ribosomal RNA (440 nucleotides) under uncultured bacterium. Its description in RNAcentral is "partial 16S ribosomal RNA". It matches the Rfam family "Bacterial small subunit ribosomal RNA", at positions 338 to 795 of the family's 1533-position model. The record is from RNAcentral.
CCUACGGGUGGCAGCAGUGGGGGAUAUUGCACAAUGGGGGAAACCCUGAUGCAGCGACGCCGCGUGUGGGAAGACGGUCUUCUGGAUUGUAAACCACUGUCCCCAGGGACGAAAAUGACGGUACCUGGGGAGGAAGCUUCGGCUAACUACGUGCCAGCAGCCGCGGUAAUACGUAGGGAGCAAGCGUUGUCCGGAUGUACUGGGUGUAAAGGGAGCGUAGGCGGGGAUGCAAGUUGGGUGUCAAAACUACCGGCUCCACCGAUAGUCGCACUCAAAACUGCAGCUCUUGAGUGAAGUAGAGGCGGGCGGAAUGCCUAGUGUAGCGGUGAAAUGCGUAGAUAUUAGGAGGAACACCAGUGGCGAAGGCGGCCUGCUGGGCUUUUACUGACGCUGAGGCUCGAAAGUGUGGGGAGCAAACAGGAUUAGAUACCCGAGUAGUC